This 208-nucleotide unclassified non-coding RNA is filed under the name uncultured Bartonella sp. Its description in RNAcentral is "partial 16S-23S ribosomal RNA intergenic spacer". The stretch from base 150 to 208 matches the Rfam family "tRNA", at positions 1 to 56 of the family's 71-position model. The record is from RNAcentral. Lineage: Bacteria; Pseudomonadati; Pseudomonadota; Alphaproteobacteria; Hyphomicrobiales; Bartonellaceae.
ACAUUAAAAACAGGACGUUUAGGAUACUCUUUAAAUCCUUAUAAAUCUUAAAGAGUGUCCCUUUAAAAAAGGGCUUUAUGAAGAAAGCACUCUAAGCUUUUCCAAUGAUUUAAGAUGAUACCGGGGAAGGUUUUCCGGUUUAUCCCGGAGGGCUUGUAGCUCAGUUGGUUAGAGCGCGCGCUUGAUAAGCGUGAGGUCGGAGGUUCAA